RNAcentral lists this ribosomal RNA (549 nucleotides) under uncultured bacterium. RNAcentral's name for it is "bacterial SSU rRNA". It matches the Rfam family "Bacterial small subunit ribosomal RNA", at positions 355 to 896 of the family's 1533-position model. The record is from RNAcentral.
UGGGGAAUAUUGGACAAUGGGCGAAAGCCUGAUCCAGCCAUGCCGCGUGUGUGAAGAAGGCCUUUUGGUUGUAAAGCACUUUAAGUGGGGAGGAAAAGCUUGUGGUUAAUACCCAUAAGCCCUGACGUUACCCACGGAAUAAGCACCGGCUAACUCUGUGCCAGCAGCCGCGGUAAUACAGAGGGUGCAAGCGUUAAUCGGAAUUACUGGGCGUAAAGCGCGCGUAGGUGGUUAUUUAAGUCAGAUGUGAAAGCCCCGGGCUUAACCUGGGAACUGCAUCUGAUACUGGAUAACUAGAGUAGGUGAGAGGGGAGUAGAAUUCCAGGUGUAGCGGUGAAAUGCGUAGAGAUCUGGAGGAAUACCGAUGGCGAAGGCAGCUCCCUGGCAUCAUACUGACACUGAGGUGCGAAAGCGUGGGUAGCAAACAGGAUUAGAUACCCUGGUAGUCCACGCCGUAAACGAUGUCUACCAGUCGUUGGGUCUUUUAAAGACUUAGUGACGCAGUUAACGCAAUAAGUAGACCGCCUGGGGAGUACGGCCGCAAGGUUA